UUUCCGUAGGUGAACCUGCGGAAGGAUCAUUAAAAAAUUGGACUCCAUUGGUGAGUUCAUUAAUAAUCCCUACCCUUUGUGAAUUUGUUUGUUUGAAUAAUUUUUUUUUCCAAAAAAAAUUAUUGAAUGUCUUUCCUUGUUUUGGUGGAGCUUGUAAAGUGAAACCAGGCAGGGGAAUGGCAAACAAUAAUUAUUUUUGAAAAAGACCUUUUUUUAAAAUUAAACUUUUUGUAUUCAUUUGUCUAAAAUUAAUUUUUAUAAUAUAAAAACAACUUUUGACAAUGGAUCUCUUGGUUCUCGCAACGAUGAAGAACGCAGCAAAAUGCGAUAAGUAGUGUGAAUUGCAGAAUACGUGAAUCAUCGAAUCUUCGAACGCAUAUUGCACUUUUUUAGUUUACUAAAAAAGUAUGUCUGUUUGAGUAUCAGUAAAAUAUUCUCAUAAAAAACAUUGUUUUUUUUAUGGUUAUGAGUGUUUUACAACGAUAACAAGUUGUUUCACUUUAAAUUCUUUGUUAUCAAAAAAAUCAUUAAAAGCUAAUUUUAAAGAUUUUUUAAAAUUGGAUAAAAUUUUCCCGUAAAAAGGAAUAACCUAAACAAUUUUAAAAAAUUAAAAUUGGUUUGAUUUUUUUUUGAAACCCAAAGGAAAAAAAAACGAAAUUAACUUGAUCUCAAAUCAGAUAAGAGUACCCGCUGAACUUAAGCAUAUCAAUAAGCGGAGGAAAAGAAACUAACUAGGAUUCCCUCAGUAACGGCGAGUGAAGCGGGAAGAGCUCAAAUUUGAAAUCUCCAAGGUUUUACUUUGACGAAUUGUAGUUUAAAGAAGUGUUUUCUGUUGGAGUUUUGGUAAAAGUUCUUUGGAAAAGGACAUCAUAGAGGGUGAGAAUCCCGUAUUUGACCAUUAUCUCCAGCUUUGUGAUACACUUUCAAAGAGUCGGAUUGUUUGGGAAUGCAGUCCAAAAUGGGUGGUAAAUUUCAUCUAAAGCUAAAUACUGGCGAGAGACCGAUAGCGAACAAGUACCGUGAGGGAAAGAUGAAAAGAACUUUGAAAAGAGAGUUAAACAGUACGUGAAAUUGUCAAAAGGGAAGCGUUUGACACCAGUGUUGUUUUCUCGAAAAUCAAUUAAAAAAGGCCGGAUUUUGUGUUGUAUUGACUUUAUCAGCUUUCUGCACUCUUUUCUUGUCUUUUUUAAUGCACUUUUCGUUUAACAAGUCAACAUCAAUUUCUUUUGUUGUAAAAGGGUCAUUGGAAGGUGGCUUUCUUUUCGGAGAAAGUGUUUUUAGCCUUUGGCCUCUGCAAUCGGAGAGAUUGAGGUCUGCAGCGUAGAUCCUUCGGGUUAGAUACAUUUGUGCUAAGUUAUAGCCUUUCAUAGACAACUUGUUGACUAUGAUCAGUCAUGUAGCUUACUCGCUUAUGCUAUUUUACCUACGCUUAGGAUGUUG
RNAcentral lists this unclassified non-coding RNA (1440 nucleotides) under uncultured Neocallimastigales. RNAcentral describes it as "partial contains small subunit ribosomal RNA, internal transcribed spacer 1, 5.8S ribosomal RNA, internal transcribed spacer 2, and large subunit ribosomal RNA". The stretch from base 664 to 1440 matches the Rfam family "Eukaryotic large subunit ribosomal RNA", at positions 1 to 628 of the family's 3401-position model. The record is from RNAcentral. Lineage: Eukaryota; Fungi; Neocallimastigomycota; Neocallimastigomycetes; Neocallimastigales.